GAAUCAACAGAAAAUACAUAGAAUGUGCUUGGACAUUUGCAGAAUUUAAUCAGAAGAACAGUAUCAUAAAUUAUUUUUAUUUCUUGGUAAAUUUUAACAUGGAAAAGUUUACCGAACAACAACAACAACAACAAAGAAAGAAAGUUUCCUGUCAAAGGGAUCAUGGAAAGUGAAGAGCCUCAGCUUGGAAGUGGGUUUCCAGGAGGAACUAAAUGGUGGAAAGAGGAAUAUCACUAGAAUUAUUCUUUGGCUCGUUGAAUGGGUGGAUUUCCCGGGCUUUAUAUCACAGCCUCAUCAUUUUCACCUUCACCAAUAGUGCUUGUUUUGUAUGAUAGAAAUGCUUUCACCUGCAAUAACCAAUGGCUUAAUCAAAGAAGGAUUCAUUUUUCCUUGUGUAACAAGAAAGGUGAAGUAUUGCAUCACAGACCUAUCCCCAAGAUGGAGACUGAAUCAACUGUUCUUGAAAUCCAGCCUCCUCCUCCAAUCUGCUACCCAAAAAAGAAUAAGGGUUUUGUUAGUAAAGAAAAGGGAAUACUUGAAUAAGCAACUGUAGUUUUUGAAUAUAUGUUAAUACCUAUAGGCAAACUCUUCAAUUGUAUGGCUCUUUCUUAAAUGAAUAUAUUCUUGGUCAUUUAACAGUAGAAAUGUAUGCACUUUGAAUUAUUUUCUCAGUGUAGGACAUAGACUUGUACUCUCUUACUGAUUAAGCCACUUGUAGGGUAAGGAAAAAUGUCAGGCUUUUCUGCCCUCCCGCCAUCAGGAUAGAUGAUGGAUCCUUGUGGUCCUGAAUGCAUGCCUGAUAGCGGGCACCUGGAAUAGGGUGUGGGCCUAGGUAGAUGGGAUUCACCUGGGCUAAGACUGCUUUUAAGGGCGGCAUCACGGGGACGCCAGCAGCAGCAGAAGCUGAAAGAGAAGCUGAGAAAGAAGUAGCAGAAGCCAAGAGAGGCAGAGAACACCGGAGAGCCCAGAUAGA
Long non-coding RNA from Talpa occidentalis (Iberian mole), 973 nucleotides. RefSeq lists it as uncharacterized. The transcript has 5 exons. The record is from RefSeq and is a predicted model, not a curated record. Lineage: Eukaryota; Metazoa; Chordata; Mammalia; Eulipotyphla; Talpidae.